UAAUCUCUAGCUCAGAUGCCGACUUUGUUCAGUGAUGCUGCCUGGUGUUACUCCAUGAAUCAAGAUAGAACUGGAACUUGGUGGUAGAAUCUCUACUAAUUGCAGGUAUGGUGAAGUGUCAAAACAUAGCAACCCCGUGAAUUGUAUGUCACACAUUCUGUGUCUUGAAUCGUUUUUGUAAAUUGUCAUCAUUCUGUAACAGAUCAAGAAAAUACUUUAGUUUCUUAUGCAGUGCUCCCCGUUUUUAAGUUUAGGUGUCUAGGGGAUGAGAAUUUGAAAACUUGUAUUUCAUGUCUUUGGAACUGCAAAAAGAAGCAAAUAGUUCAUGCUUUCUACAUUUAGAAUAAUUUCUUAGUCAGAGUGAUCAAACUACUUGAUACAAUAUCUCUAGAGUUGCAAAGUAGUCGCUGGUCCUCCAUGUCCAGUGAGUUUGAGCAGUUUUCCCAAAAUUAUAAUUCGUCAUGAGUAUAUUUUAGACUAAGUGGAACUUCGUAUCAGUUCCUACGUCUUCAAUUAUUUUGGCCCUUAUAAUUCAGUGGCAUAUGUCUAGUUUGUUUUUGUCAGUACGCCUGCGAUAGGAUUAUAAUGUAUAAUUUGCUAAUGCAUAUCAGGGAGGCCAAUAAUGUCGUCCAUGGGGGUAAUUCUCUGGCCAAUGCUUGGCAGACUAAUUGGAUUGAAGCAUUUCUAACGCUCAAACACCUAAGUUGCUGGCGUUACAUACUAACUAAGAUUCAAGCAAGCCAGGUAUGGUUAAUAUUUUUGUGUUGUCCUGAUGUUGCUCUAUGUCUAGUGCUUUGCAUUCCAUUUGGAGCAGCUGCUGCAGCCUUCAAGUGCUGGUUUCUUUACGUAACAAAAUAAAAUGUUAGUUCUUUUUGGUUUCCAGUAAUCAAUGCUGCGCAUUCUAGAUUCAAGUUAUCAACAGUUGCAUUAUAAACGUGAUUGUCGUUAUUAUACAACUUCUCCCACUGUGAUAUCAUUGUAUUUGUUUGCUAUUAAACUCUCGACUCUAGAGCUACCUGUGACCGGUUUGUUAUUAUAAAGUAAAAAGAACGUACUGUUGCGUGGGAACUUUGGAUUUGUGUUCGCACGGUAACUUGCUGGUUCAUGGUUUCUGGGAUUGCAGAAGCUUUGUCUUCUUGUCAGGAUGAUUCUUAGUUUGAUCUGUAUAGAAUACCCUUUAGUAUGACUGGUUGGGCCUUUGAUCUGCGUGAGCACUUAUUUAGGGUGAUUUUUUCAUUCACUAAUGGAGCUCUUGGUUUAGUCUUUAUAAAAUAUCCAUUAGUCUGAACUAAUUGCUAAAAGUAAUCACGUAAAAGUGGACUUUUUCCUCUUAAGGACGUAAAGUGACUUUGUUGUCGUCAGUCUUAUACUGUUUGAAGAUGUGUGGCUUAUCUGAUAUUAAUCUACAAAAAGUGGUCAAGCGGAACCUAACUCAACAAGCAUAUCUAGACUUUGUAGAGACAAGCAUGACAAUUUAGUUAUUGAUGUCACAUUGCAAAAUCUUAUAUCUCUUUUCUACCCCCGAAAAAAAUAUAUCUCUUUUCCCUGCCCAAGUAGCAGUUGGAUACGAGUCCUUCAUUUUCUGUUGCAUUGGUUCAAUAUUUUUAGUUGACGUUUGGUAACAGGGAAUGAUUCAGUUGGUAAAGGAUAUAACUUUUGUCUAUCAUUCGUAAAAACCUACGGACCCAAUUGUCUAAGUGGCCUCUGAUCCACAUAGGCUAGCUACCAAGCUUGUAUUUAGUUCCGUUAAUCUUUCAUCUGCAGCAAUUAAUACGAGCAGGUUUCAGUUUUGCAGAGACCCAAAUAUGGACUCUACGACUUGAAAUGGAAGAACAAUUAGGCAUGUUAUGUCCGAAUUUGCGAAGAAAGAGAUCAGCAAUAAGCAAAGCAAACAGUGGCAACGGGCAAGUUAGAAAUAAUUGGCAGCGUUCCACAAGUAGAGAUGGGUGAUCCAAAUGUGAAAUUGAAAGCAAUCAUGAGGAACUAACUGGAUAGAAGCUGGUUUUCAGAAUUGAGAUGUGAAACAGAGAAGUAAAAGAGGAGGAGAAAUAUCUGUUCCAUUGCUUUGAGUGGGGCAAAGACUUUAGAGCUACUACCAACACUUUUGUUAUAGCACUAGUCUAGUGUUGGAAUUAUGGUGGGGAUCCAUACAGGUCAGAGUGUUGUUGUUUUGCAAACGUGUGGGUUCGAUUCUGAAUGUCUGCUGGAGAGACACAGUGAUAUGUGUUGAAGUUGCAGAAGCUGGAAUGAGAGUUACGUACUUUGUAUUUGUCAACUAUUGCUCAACGGCCUGAGUGGGAUACUGGCUGGCUGGCUGGCUGGCUGGCUGGGUGCAACAUAGAUAGGAAAUACCGUGUGGGGUACAAAUAUGAUAUAAUGUAUCCUUCCUUCCUUCCUUCCUUCGUAUGUAAUGAAUGUAUAACAACAGUAUAAGAAAAUAAUAAUGACUUAAGUCUUUCAUUCUAUUCCCUUGCUGGUCUGCAACUUCAGUCCAUCAGUGGGUCAAUUUCAGACUCCAUUAAUUUAGGUUGUAGAUCAGAUGGGUUUGUAUUCAAUCCCAAAAGGUGUUUCCUUU
This 2575-nucleotide long non-coding RNA is filed under the name Linum usitatissimum (flax). RNAcentral describes it as "long non-coding RNA (LUSI_LNC007690)". Lineage: Eukaryota; Viridiplantae; Streptophyta; Magnoliopsida; Malpighiales; Linaceae. The record is from RNAcentral.